AGGCCGCAACUGAGUAGUCUAAUGUUGUUCCGGUUUUGGUUCUUGUGAACAUUGACAUCGAUUCGUUCCAAAUUUACACUCUCGGGACAUAAUAGAACAAUAUAAUUAUGUUUUACGCUUUGUUCGAUAGAAUGAGAAAAAGUACUCGUCGCAAAGUUAUACUAUUAGGGCGCAACUGAGUAGUCUAAUAUUGUUCCGGUUUUUGUUCUUGUGAACGUUGACAUCGAUUCGUUCCAAAUUUACACUCUCUGGGCAUAAUAGAACAAUAUAAUUAGGUUUUACUCUUUGUUCGAAAAAAUAAGAAAAAGUACUCAUUGCAAAGUUAUACUGUUAUGGCGCAACUGAGUAACCUAAUGUUGUUCCGGUUUUGGUUCUUGUGAACGUUGACAUAGAUUCAUUCCAAAUUUACACUCUCGGGGCAUAAUAGAACAAUAUAAUUAGGUUUUACUCUUUACUCGAUAGAAGGAGAAAAAGUACUCGUCGCAAAGUUAUACUGUUAGGGCGCAACUUAGUAUUCUAAUAUUGUUCUGGUUUUUAUUCUUGUGAACGUUGAUAUCGAUUCGUUCCAAAUUUACACUCUCGGGGCAUAAUCGAACAAUAUAAUUAGGUUUUUCUCUCUAUUCGAUUGAAUGAGAAAAAAUCCUCGUUGCAAAGUUAUACUGUUAGGGCGUAACUAAGUAUUCUAAUGUUGUUCGAUUUUGGUUCUUGUGAACGUUGACACAGAUUCAUUCCAAAUUUACACUCUCGCGGCAUAAUAGAACAAUAUAACUAGGUUUUACUCUUUGCUCGAUAGAAUGAGAAAAAGUACUCGUCGCAAGUUAUACUGUUAGGGCACAACAGAGUAGUCUAAUGUUGUUCUGGUUUUCGUUCUUGUGAACGUUGACAUCGAUUCGUUUCAAAUUUACACUCCUGGGGCUUAAUAGAACGAUAUAAUUAGGUUUUACUCUUUGUUCGAUAGAAUGAGAAAAAGUACUCGUCGCAAGUUAUACUGUUAGGGCACAACAGAGUAGUCUAAUGUUGUUCUGGUUUUCGUUCUUGUGAACGUUGACAUCGAUUCGUUUCAAAUUUACACUCCUGGGGCUUAAUAGAACGAUAUAAUUAGGUUUUACUCUUUGUUCGAUAGAAUGAGAAAAAGUACUCGUCGCAAGUUAUACUGUUAGGGCACAACAGAGUAGUCUAAUGUUGUUCUGGUUUUCGUUCUUGUGAACGUUGACAUCGAUUCGUUUCAAAUUUACACUCCUGGGGCUUAAUAGAACGAUAUAAUUAGGUUUUACUCUUUGUUCGAUAGAAUGAGAAAAAGUACUCGUCGCAAGUUAUACUGUUAGGGCACAACAGAGUAGUCUAAUGUUGUUCUGGUUUUCGUUCUUGUGAACGUUGACAUCGAUUCGUUUCAAAUUUACACUCCUGGGGCUUAAUAGAACGAUAUAAUUAG
RNAcentral lists this long non-coding RNA (1432 nucleotides) under Ananas comosus (pineapple). RNAcentral's name for it is "long non-coding RNA (ACOM_LNC038709)". The record is from RNAcentral. Lineage: Eukaryota; Viridiplantae; Streptophyta; Magnoliopsida; Poales; Bromeliaceae.